This 245-nucleotide RNase P RNA is filed under the name Opitutia bacterium. RNAcentral describes it as "partial RNase P RNA component class A". It matches the Rfam family "Bacterial RNase P class A", at positions 1 to 174 of the family's 367-position model. Rfam says of the family: Ribonuclease P (RNase P) is a ubiquitous endoribonuclease, found in archaea, bacteria and eukarya as well as chloroplasts and mitochondria. Its best characterised activity is the generation of mature 5'-ends of tRNAs by cleaving the 5'-leader elements of precursor-tRNAs. The record is from RNAcentral. Lineage: Bacteria; Pseudomonadati; Verrucomicrobiota; Opitutia.
CUUCGGAGCCACGCGUUCGCUCCGCCGUUCUUUAUUGAUUUAGGUCCGUUUUAAUGGCGGAGAGGAAAGUCCGGACGUCACAGGGCAGGAUUCCUCGCGAAAGCGAGGGAGGCUCGCUUCAAGGCGGGUCGACGGAUAGCGCCACAGAAAAUAUACCGCCACCUUCGCCAAGGCUUCGGCGGGCAGGCCCCGUUCAGGGGAUCUGUUUGGUGAAGGAGGCAAGGGUGAAAUGGUGGGGUAAGAGC